Molecule: transfer RNA, 71 nt
Filed under: Stegodyphus mimosarum
Lineage: Eukaryota; Metazoa; Arthropoda; Arachnida; Araneae; Eresidae
Rfam family: tRNA
About the family: Transfer RNA (tRNA) molecules are approximately 80 nucleotides in length. Their secondary structure includes four short double-helical elements and three loops (D, anti-codon, and T loops).
Source: Rfam by way of RNAcentral
GCCUUCGUGGUGUAAUAGUGAAGCACGCUCGGAUCGUAUUCGAGAAAUCCGUGGUUCGAGUCCCGAGGGCA